This 582-nucleotide long non-coding RNA is filed under the name Ananas comosus (pineapple). RNAcentral describes it as "long non-coding RNA (ACOM_LNC006352)". The record is from RNAcentral. Lineage: Eukaryota; Viridiplantae; Streptophyta; Magnoliopsida; Poales; Bromeliaceae.
GACGUUGUCUCCUUCCUCACCGACCUCACCGACGCCGACGUCCUCGGCGACCAUGAUGACCCCGCGCACGCCCUCGUCGCUGCCCUCGUCGACAACAACGCCCUCGAGCUUCUCGUCCAGAAACUCGCCAGCCUUUCCGAGGUCGACCCCGACGAGGUUCUUCUCCCUCGCCGGUAACGAAGAAGAGGGAAGAGGAAGAGGAAGAAGGAAGAAGGAAGAAGAAGGAAAAAGAGGAAGAGGGAAGAGGAAAAGGAAGAGGGUUCGCCGCCGUCGCCGCCGCAUCUCCUCGCCGGCGACGAAAAAGAAGGAAGAGGAAGAGGAGGAAGAGGAAGAAGGGUAAAUACGUUAAUUCACACUAUAAUUAACCAUGGUUAAGUAUUUUAACCGUGGUUAACGAAAAUUUUCUAACAGAUCUGGACGGCAGGACGGCAGGGACAUAUCUGCAUAACUUAGGACUUUUGUAGGGAUAACUUAUGAAGUUUUUAUUUUGCAGGAAUAUUUUCGCAAUUCACUAUGUUUGCAAGAAUGUGUAUGCAAAUAACCUAUAGUUAUAUUACACCUCACAUUAGCCCUAAAAACAUA